AAAGCGCGCGUAGGUGGUUUGUUAAGUUGGAUGUGAAAUCCCCGGGCUCAACCUGGGAACUGCAUUCAAAACUGACUGACUAGAGUAUGGUAGAGGGUGGUGGAAUUUCCUGUGUAGCGGUGAAAUGCGUAGAUAUAGGAAGGAACACCAGUGGCGAAGGCGACCACCUGGACUGAUACUGACACUGAGGUGCGAAAGCGUGGGGAGCAAACAGGAUUAGAUACCCUAGU
RNAcentral lists this ribosomal RNA (230 nucleotides) under uncultured bacterium. RNAcentral's name for it is "partial 16S ribosomal RNA". It matches the Rfam family "Bacterial small subunit ribosomal RNA", at positions 562 to 791 of the family's 1533-position model. The record is from RNAcentral.